AUUUAAAUAGUUUAUUUAAAAUAUUGAUUUGUGAUAUCAAAGAAAUAAAAAUAUUCCAGUAUUUAUUUUAAAUU
Molecule: transfer RNA, 74 nt
Filed under: Plectrocnemia tortosa
Lineage: Eukaryota; Metazoa; Arthropoda; Insecta; Trichoptera; Polycentropodidae
Description: tRNA-His
Source: RNAcentral